Molecule: long non-coding RNA, 152 nt
Organism: Thalassophryne amazonica
Lineage: Eukaryota; Metazoa; Chordata; Actinopteri; Batrachoidiformes; Batrachoididae
Exons: 3
Source: RefSeq, a predicted model, not a curated record
UUUGGCUCUGUUUCCUCUAUUGAACAGACUAGCUGACAAAAUGAAGAAUCAUCCUGUUUUUCUAGGUCUAAGACUGUGCACUUGCGUAAGUGAGAAAUGGUGCAACAUCUGCAGCUGACUUUGGGUCUGUCUGUCUGUCACCGCAUGUUCUC